This is a long non-coding RNA of Aethalodelphis obliquidens (Pacific white-sided dolphin), 3030 nucleotides long. RefSeq lists it as uncharacterized. NCBI's taxonomy places the organism in Eukaryota, Metazoa, Chordata, Mammalia, Artiodactyla, Delphinidae. The record is from RefSeq and is a predicted model, not a curated record. The transcript is spliced from 4 exons.
GGAUGGCUUCAAAGGCUGCAGGUUCUAGUGGCAGCAAGUUUAUUCAGCUGCACUUUGGACCUAAGCAGCAGAGGCCAGAGCAACAUAGUAAUUUCUUUGGGCCACAAUGGUCAGAAAACUGUAACUGAAAAGUGCCCACGCAGGAGAGACUUACUUCAUCUUUAAGUUUUCCUUAAAAACAGGAGCAGACUCAAAACCCGGGAUAAGGCACUAACACAAUUAACGAAGGCAGUAAAGCAGAGCGAUGAAUCUUACUUUGCAAAAUGAUUCCAAAGGCCUAAGAUGAAAGAGACGAAGAAAAAACUUAAUGGUGCAGCGUAAGACCUUCUGCCAGGAUUCUCAACAUAUUGUACUUCUGCAAAAAACACCACUGCAUUACUGCCCUGCAGGUGACAAAGCAUUCAGUCCACACCUGUGCUAAUACGGGAAUUGUCUCUUCUGCGUCGGAACAGUAGCAGAUAAGAUGCGACACAUGUGCUUCAGCCAGCCGGGACCGCAUGUUGAAGAUGACUAUACAUCGGAUUUAAAUAAACAGCAGAAAUGAACAUCAUCGUGCACAAGCCAACGAAACCUUCUCUCCCGGGACGUUCCAGGAGAUGAGAAAGCAGCAGGUCAUGGCAUAAGACUGGUACAGAUGAAAAAAAUCAAGUCACAGAGCAGUCAAGAAACUUGCCUAAGGUCAUCGAGCUGGUAAGUAACACAGCUGGGAUGUGAACCUGUGAAGUCUGGCGCCAGAGGCCAUACCGCUAGCCACUAGCCUACACUGUCUCAGUAAGCUGGCUGGCUAAAAUCGUGCAGAUUGUUUGGUCAGCCACCCUACACGUGGUGACGCCGACUCAAGGUGGAUCUCUCACAAAGAUGGAUUCAGUCUGCUUCCCCUCAGAUGUCUGCUUUAGUGUGAACUCUGCCAUGAAUUUCCACGUUGUUAUUUGUAAACUUCUAACUUACACAGUGUCUUUUUACCUCGAAAUUGUAUGCAGUGCUCUUCUGUUUUAAAGGCCAUUCACGGCCUACCUUUAGGAUGAUUUUGUCACUUCCUAACUCUCUGUGAAGAAAACAGUUAUAAGGGGUGCGAGAGGCGGCUUUAUGUUAUUGAGGAAGAGGAGGUUAAUUGUGAAACUCUCCGCACGAAGGUGCCAACUCAGUCCUGCCUUCCAGCUCCCGGCAGAGGUGCAGAGCUGCUGGCCUCCCUUCUCUCUUGGGGUGUUUAGGGGAACCCUAGAGGGUGUUUAGGGGAACCCUAGAGACCGGCCUGCAGAGCUGCAGGAUGCUUGGCCAACUCCCAGAAUCUGACUGUUCUGCACAUUCGUUAAGACAGAUGCUGUUUCUAAACAAGAAGGCUGUGAAUUUACCAAAUAUACCUAUUAGUAACGUUUUACAGAAAGACUACUAGGUAACUCAUCUAAUAUGAGGAACACUGGGGCACACGCUUCCCCUUGGGGAGUUCUGGAAAUCAACUGAACCCCACUACUGGGUACCCAAAGGUAUAAACGAUAAUAGCCUUGCAUUGCCUGAAUCUCCCCUUUGUAAAUCAGGCAAACCAAUACUAAUACGUAGGUGAGGCUUUACUAACCUAUGGCUAUAAAUGCUGAAAGCCAAAUAAGAAGUGAGUUAUCACAUUUAACAAAUUCAGUAGUGAUGAUAUUAGCACAGACAGUUAUAAUAUCAGGAUACUGACAUACCAGUGUUAAAAUAUUUUAAAAGAUGAAUGCUCACUGAACAGUCUCAAAGUUAUUGUUUUGAAAACCAUUUAUCUAUAUGGAGGUUGACUCUCAGAAAGUUAACCUGAUUUAUUCAUAUUUAGAUAAUUAAAAUGGUGAGAAUUUUAAAAAGGUGGGAACCUGUGUUGAUGGAUAUUAGCAAAAUAAACCUAAGAAAUUUCAAAUAUAAGUUAAUUAAAAAAUGAAUUUCAAUGUCUAACCCUAUGAGUAGAUAGAACAGUAAGAAUUUUUUCUUAAAGGUAAGAAACUGAUGGAUGUAUUGUUGGCCAAAAUAUUAAUCCACACCUUUAUGCAAAUGUUUCUGAAAUUACUAGUAAAUACUGGGUCAGCUAUGGCUUCCUCCCUAAAUUACAGUCUUUUCCAAAGGCAUAUGACUAGGUCAACAGAUCAGUCAGCUUUUUAUCAAAAAUUACUUAGCUUCAGAUUUUAUAAAUGCUACAGAAUUUGAUAAAAUACUAAUUCCUUUUAUCAUUAACAAAUCUCAUGGAAUGAGGAUGUAAUAACAAAAACCUUAAAUGCUCCAGACUCAUAAUAAAACUAGCAUCUACCAGAAAACUGAAAUUUUAGGAGAACUGACACUCGGAGGAGUUAGAAGACCAAAGUGAUUUUCUUAAACAGUUGAAAAAUUUCACUUCUCAUAUGGGAAAGAAAAAGUUCUAGCUGCAAAGCCUGGCCAUUAAAUAAAAUCCACACUAUUUAUGAGAAUAAUUCAUAAUAGCUAGAAAAGAUGUUCUUUUGUCUAAAGAUGCUGACCAUUGUGGGUGCAGAGUCAAAAGGCAGGUUAAGGACUUAGCAAAUGGCAGUGGAGCCCUCCUCCUGGUUAGAGCACAGGCGCAGGGGGCAGGUGGGCCGUGAUUCCUUCCCAGCCCUCAGAAUUAGCUAUUGUUAUGGACUGCAUAUUUGGAUCUAUCCCCUGCCCCCAAAUUCAUCCACUGAAGCCCUAACCCCCAAUGUGAUGGUAUUUGGAGGUGGAACCUUUGGGAGAGAAUCAGCUCAUGAGGGUGGAGCCCUCAGGAUGGGAUUAGUGCCCUUCCAAGAAGAGACGCCAGAGAGCUUGUUUCCUCUCAGUCCCGUGAGGACACAGGGAGAAAGACGGCCUGUGUUCUAUCGACCAGGAAGUAAGUAAGUGGCUUCUCACCAGACACUGAAUCUGCUGGUGCCUUGAUCUUGGGACUCCUGAGCCUUCAGAACUGUGAGAAAUAAAUGUUUGCUGUUUAGACCACCCAGUCUAGGGUAGUUUUGUUAUAGCAGCCAGAGCUAAUAAGACAGCUACCAUGUAGUCCUUUUUUUUUUUGGUGGUGCCUCACAG